This is a long non-coding RNA of Armigeres subalbatus, 687 nucleotides long. RefSeq lists it as uncharacterized. NCBI's taxonomy places the organism in Eukaryota, Metazoa, Arthropoda, Insecta, Diptera, Culicidae. The record is from RefSeq and is a predicted model, not a curated record. The transcript is spliced from 4 exons.
GUCUUUAGUGUCUUUAAGUAAAACCAGAAAAAAAUUGCUUUUCUCGCGAACGUAAGUAAUUCCGUUCUUGAACGACCGUAAAAGCAACAUCCGAACCGUUUGGAUCCAAAAAGCCUGUGUUUCAAAAUAGUGGGCCUUUCUGCUGUGCAAGUUUAACUUGCUUGACGAUAAUACCUUCAGUAUCCUCCAUCCCAUGUAUCAUGACUAGAAAUUUGAAACCUCACAAACACCUUGGAACUAAAUACGAAAAGUAACAUGUCGACAAUAUCCCGAGCCGUAAUCGUGUUGACUGAGACUUAAUUCCACGAUACGACUUAACCUGUUUCAUUAUGUGGAUAAGAAGUUCACGGCCGGUCUGAUGGCCUCGUCGACCAGACUAAGAUAAAUCUCAACUACCGAAUCAUCCAUUUCCUCCCAUACGCUACACGGGGAAGCGCCGUGAUCGAGCGCCGGUUGUACGCUUCUCCGCCUUUUCUACUGGAUUCAGCUAAUCGGGAUCAACCUUGGGCCAAGUGAUAUGCUUCCGAAGGUGAAAUUGUUGAGUGGACAUCCGUACGGAAGAGGUCGUAUAAACGCAGCUUAUGUAUCCAGUGUCCUGCACUCGGUAAUGGCGGUGAGUGUGGCAAAAUAUGUUUUGAUAUGAUUAUGAUAGCUAUAUUAGGCAAUAAAUUAAAUAUAUAACAGAUA